This 498-nucleotide long non-coding RNA is filed under the name Daucus carota (carrot). RNAcentral describes it as "long non-coding RNA (DCAR_LNC006014)". The record is from RNAcentral. Lineage: Eukaryota; Viridiplantae; Streptophyta; Magnoliopsida; Apiales; Apiaceae.
UAGUUGCUAGAAAAUUAAAAUUAAAUUAGUUGAUAAAAACAUGAUAAUUAGAUAUUGUUUGGUGCAUAACUGGUUACCAGAAAGCAAUUGUAAUGUUAAAGAAAGAAGCAGCUGUGAUUAUUUUCCAUUUAGCUGAGGUGUGUUUGGCCAAUGACAUGAGAAGAAGAUGAUCUUUAUCUUAUCUACGUCUUUUAUGAAUAUAUUGUUAGGGUGAAUUUUCGUUUUUAGGAGCGCUUGUGAUACACAUUUACGCCAAUGUGUGAUCCAGAAUUUGUUUCCUCGUUUCAUUUUCUCGUACAAAUUCCCCCUUAUUUAUAUUCAGUAAAAAUAUAUUAAGAAAAAAUCAGUGAAAAUGAUAAAGGUAGCUAUGAUGUUGAUGAGAAGAUAGAUACUGGUUGCUUCCACUUGAUAUUGUGGAGGUAAUUAUGGGGUCAAGUGAUCAUUUUGGUAGAACUUUUGGGCCUUUUAAUUGAUUAUGAUUAUGACAAUCUAUCUAAA